RNAcentral lists this long non-coding RNA (422 nucleotides) under Androctonus crassicauda. Lineage: Eukaryota; Metazoa; Arthropoda; Arachnida; Scorpiones; Buthidae. The record is from RNAcentral.
AAAUGUUUCAAAAAUAUCAACAUUUUUUAAAGCAGUUGGAAUUAUAUGAUUACUAUACAUAAUGAAAUUAAGAAAAGCAAAUGUAUACAAACUACAAAAGAUUUUGAUGUUGAGAGUAACAUUCUAUAGUACAGAUAGUCCUCAAUUUAUAAUGGGUUCAAACCAGCGACGUAACCAGCUUUUUUUUUUGGAUGGGCCAAGGGUGGGCCACACUGAUGUAGAUUUUAAGUUCCAUAUAACCCAAGACGCUUUGAGUUCCAUAAAAAUUACAAUGUAAAACCAAAAGUAUUUCCAUCAUAAUUCAAAACUCUUUGAGUUCCAUGAUGAUAAAACCAGAUAAUAAACUGCUUUGAGUUCCAUGAUAACUAUUUUUAGAAUUUAGAUAUACAAGCAGUUGUGCAUGUGUUGUUAAAACACAAGAC